RNAcentral lists this ribosomal RNA (1482 nucleotides) under Triticum aestivum (bread wheat). RNAcentral describes it as "partial small subunit ribosomal RNA". The record is from RNAcentral. Lineage: Eukaryota; Viridiplantae; Streptophyta; Magnoliopsida; Poales; Poaceae.
AUGUGGAACAAGUUUGUUGUUAAUGAUGGAUUUGUGUUUCGUGCUAACAAGCUAUGCAUUCCAGCUAGCUCCGUUCGUCUUUUGUUGUUGCAGGAGGCGCAUGGAGGAGGAUUAAUGGGACACUUCGUCGUGAAGAAGACGGAGGACGUACUUGCUACACAUUUCUUUUGGCCAAAGAUGAGACGGGAUGUUGAGCGUUUUAUUGCUCGCUGCACUACAUGUCAAAAAGCUAAGUCACGACUCAAUCCUCAUGGUUUAUAUAUGCCUUUGCCUGUACCUAGUGUUCCUUGGGAGGAUAUAUCUAUGGACUUUGUUUUAGGUUUACCUCGAACAAAGAAGGGGAGGGAUAGCAUAUUUGUUGUCGUGGAUAGAUUCUCGAAAAUGGCACACUUUAUACCAUGUCAUAAAAGCGAUGAUGCUGUUAAUGUUGCUGAUUUGUUCUUUCGUGAAAUUAUUCGCUUGCAUGGUGUGCCAAAUACUAUUGUUUCAGAUCGUGAUACUAAAUUUCUUAGCCACUUUUGGAGAUGUUUAUGGGCUAAGUUGGGGACUAAACUGCUUUUUAGUACUACUUGUCACCCCCAAACUGAUGGACAAACUGAAGUAGUCAAUAGAACGUUGUCUACUAUGCUUAGGGCUGUUUUGAAGAAUAAUAAGAAAAUGUGGGAGGAAUGCUUGCCUCAUAUUGAAUUUGCUUAUAAUCGUUCAUUGCAUUCUACUACUAAGAUGUGCCCUUUUGAAGUUGUGUAUGGUUUCCUACCUCGUGCACCUAUUGAUUUGUUGCCUCUUCCAUCUUCGGAGAAGGUUAAUUUUGAUGCUAAACAACGUGCUGAAUUGAUUUUAAAAAUGCAUGAGUUAACUAAGGAAAACAUUGAGCGUAUGAAUGCUAAAUAUAAACUUGCUGGAGAUAAGGGUAGAAAACAUGUUGUGUUUGCACCUGGAGAUCUUGUUUGGUUACAUUUGCGCAAGGAUAGAUUUCCUGAUUUGCGCAAAUCAAAGCUAAUGCCACGUGCUGAUGGUCCCUUUAAGGUGUUAGAGAAAAUAAAUGAUAAUGCAUAUAAACUUGAGCUGCCUGCAGAUUUUGGGGUUAGUCCCACUUUUAACAUUGCAGAUUUGAAGCCUUAUUUGGGUGAGGAAGAUGAACUUCCGUCGAGGACGACUUCAUUUCAAGAAGGGGAGGAUGAUGAGGACAUCAAUACAAUUGUUACACCCACAGCCCCUGCUGCUAUACAUACUGGGCCAAUUACUAGAGCUCGUGCACGCCAACUAAAUUACCAGGUACUUUCGUUUCUUGGUAAUGAUUCUAAUGUUCAUGAGAAUAUGAUGCUGCCUAAAUUGGAUACAUUUGUUUUGCUUACAAAUGAAGGGCCUAGCUUGGAGAAGGAUGAACAUUGGAGCAAGAACAAGCAUGGAGAUGAUGGCAUGCGCAAGGGGAACAAGAACGGAGUUACAAGUGAUGAUUUCAGGACUUUGAAGCCACCAUAA